RNAcentral lists this ribosomal RNA (254 nucleotides) under uncultured bacterium. Its description in RNAcentral is "partial 16S ribosomal RNA". It matches the Rfam family "Bacterial small subunit ribosomal RNA", at positions 524 to 776 of the family's 1533-position model. The record is from RNAcentral.
CACGUAGGGUGCGAGCGUUGUCCGGAAUUAUUGGGCGUAAAGAGCUCGUAGGCGGUGUGUCGCGUCGGCCGUGAAAACCUGCAGCUUAACUGUGGGCUUGCGGUCGAUACGGGCAUCACUGGAGUUCGGCAGGGGAGACUGGAAUUCCUGGUGUAGCGGUGAAAUGCGCAGAUAUCUGGAGGAACACCGGUGGCGAAGGCGGCAUCCUGGACCAACACUGACGCUGAGGAGCGAAAGCCAGGGGAGCAAACGGG